GACGAACGCUGGCGGCGUGCUUAACACAUGCAAGUCGAACGGAAAGGCCCUGCUUUUGUGGGGGGCUCGAGUGGCGAACGGGUGAGUAACACGUGAGUAACCUGCCCUUGACUUUGGGAUAACUUCAGGAAACUGGGGCUAAUACCGGAUAGGAGCUCCUGCUGCAUGGUGGGGGUUGGAAAGUUUCGGCGGUUGGGGAUGGACUCGCGGCUUAUCAGCUUGUUGGUGGGGUGGUGGCUUACCAAGGCUUUGACGGGUCGCCGGCCUGAGAGGGUGACCGGCCCCAUUGGGACUGAGAUACGGCCCAGACUCCUACGGGAGGCAGCAGUGGGGAAUAUUGCACAAUGGGCGGAAGCCUGAUGCAGCAACGCCGCGUGCGGGAUGACGGCCUUCGGGUUGUAAACCGCUUUCGCCUGUGACGAAGCGUGAGUGACGGUAAUGGGUAAAGAAGCACCGGCUAACUACGUG
This 468-nucleotide ribosomal RNA is filed under the name uncultured bacterium. RNAcentral's name for it is "partial 16S ribosomal RNA". It matches the Rfam family "Bacterial small subunit ribosomal RNA", at positions 28 to 507 of the family's 1533-position model. The record is from RNAcentral.